GUGGGGAAUAUUGGACAAUGGGCGCAAGCCUGAUCCAGCCAUGCCGCGUGAGUGAUGAAGGCCUUAGGGUUGUAAAGCUCUUUCAGUGGGGACGAUAAUGACGGUACCCACAGAAGAAGCCCCGGCUAACUUCGUGCCAGCAGCCGCGGUAAUACGAAGGGGGCUAGCGUUGUUCGGAUUUACUGGGCGUAAAGCGCACGUAGGCGGGGCGUUAAGUCGGGGGUGAAAUCCUGGAGCUCAACUCCAGAACUGCCUUCGAUACUGGCGACGUAGAGUCCGGAAGAGGUGAGUGGAACUCCUAGUGUAGAGGUGGAAGUCGUAGAUAUUAGGAAGAACACCAGUGGCGAAGGCGGCUCACUGGUCCGGUACUGACGCUGAGGUGCGAAAGCGUGGGGAGCAAACAGGAUUAGAUACCCCGGUAGUCC
RNAcentral lists this ribosomal RNA (425 nucleotides) under uncultured bacterium. RNAcentral describes it as "partial 16S ribosomal RNA". It matches the Rfam family "Bacterial small subunit ribosomal RNA", at positions 354 to 796 of the family's 1533-position model. The record is from RNAcentral.